Long non-coding RNA from Thunnus maccoyii (southern bluefin tuna), 412 nucleotides. RefSeq lists it as uncharacterized. The transcript is spliced from 3 exons. NCBI's taxonomy places the organism in Eukaryota, Metazoa, Chordata, Actinopteri, Scombriformes, Scombridae. The record is from RefSeq and is a predicted model, not a curated record.
UUAACACACAGCAACACAGCGGCGGGCUAGCUAACAUGUCAGACAAGAAACAGACCGUGGACCUGGGUCUACUGGAGGAGGACGACGAGUUUGAAGAAUUCCCAGCCGAGGAUUGGACGGGGCUGGAUGAAGAUGAGGAUGCCCAUGUUUGGGAAGACAACUGGGAUGAUGAUAAUGUAGAGGAUGAUUUCUCAAAUCAACUGAGAGCGGAGCUGGAAAAACAUGGUUACAAGAUGGAGACGUCAUAGCGGCUGACAUGGCCUUUCACUAUUCCAUGACAUUGGAUAUGGACAUUUGGAUUUGAAUAUUACUUGCCGAUUACAAACCACAGGAUGAGAUUUAAAGGUGUUAAUUUGUUUUGUUUUUCUUUGUAAGAAAUGUCAAUGAAAGUAAAGUGUUUGGAGAAAAAAAA